UAGAGUUUGAUCAUGGCUCAGGAUGAACGCUAGCGGCAGGCUUAACACAUGCAAGUCGAGGGGCAUCGGGAGGGAAGCUUGCUUUCCUUGCCGGCGACCGGCGCACGGGUGAGUAACACGUAUGCAACCUGCCCUCUUCAGGGGGACAACCUUCCGAAAGGGAGGCUAAUCCCGCGUAUAUCGGUUUCGGGCAUCCGAGAUCGAGGAAAGAUUCAUCGGAAGAGGAUGGGCAUGCGGCGCAUUAGCUUGACGGCGGGGUAACGGCCCACCGUGGCGACGAUGCGUAGGGGUUCUGAGAGGAAGGUCCCCCACACUGGUACUGAGACACGGACCAGACUCCUACGGGAGGCAGCAGUGAGGAAUAUUGGUCAAUGGGAGAGAUCCUGAACCAGCCAAGCCGCGUGAGGGAAGACGGCCCUAUGGGUUGUAAACCUCUUUUGUCGGAGAACAAAACCCGGGACGUGUCCCGGACUGCGUGUAUCCGAAGAAAAAGCAUCGGCUAACUCCGUGCCAGCAGCCGCGGUAAUACGGAGGAUGCGAGCGUUAUCCGGAUUUAUUGGGUUUAAAGGGUGCGUAGGCGGUCCGUUAAGUCAGCGGUAAAAUUGCGGGGCUCAACCCCGUCGAGCCGUUGAAACUGGCAGACUUGAGUUGGCGAGAAGUACGCGGAAUGCGCGGUGUAGCGGUGAAAUGCAUAGAUAUCGCGCAGAACUCCGAUUGCGAAGGCAGCGUACCGGCGCCAGACUGACGCUGAGGCACGAAAGCGUGGGGAUCGAACAGGAUUAGAUACCCUGGUAGUCCACGCAGUAAACGAUGAAUGCUGGUUGUCCGGGUCGAAUGAGAUCUGGGCGGCGAAGCGAAAGCGAUAAGCAUUCCACCUGGGGAGUACGCCGGCAACGGUGAAACUCAAAGGAAUUGACGGGGGCCCGCACAAGCGGAGGAACAUGUGGUUUAAUUCGAUGAUACGCGAGGAACCUUACCCGGGCUCAAACGGGAGCGGAAUGGACCAGAGACGGUUCAGCCUACGGGCCGCUUCCGAGGUGCUGCAUGGUUGUCGUCAGCUCGUGCCGUGAGGUGUCGGCUUAAGUGCCAUAACGAGCGCAACCCCCGCCGGCAGUUGCUAACGGGCAAUGCCGAGGACUCUGCCGGGACUGCCGCCGCAAGGCGAGAGGAAGGCGGGGAUGACGUCAAAUCAGCACGGCCCUUACGUCCGGGGCGACACACGUGUUACAAUGGGCGGUGCAGCGGGAAGCCAGGCGGCGACGCCGAGCGGAACCCGAAAGCCGUUCUCAGUUCGGAUCGGAGUCUGCAACCCGACUCCGUGAAGCUGGAUUCGCUAGUAAUCGCGCAUCAGCCAUGGCGCGGUGAAUACGUUCCCGGGCCUUGUACACACCGCCCGUCAAGCCAUGGGAGCCGGGGGUGCUUGAAGUGCGUCGCCGCGAGGCGCGCCCUAGAGCAAAACCGGUGACUGGGGCUAAGUCGUAACAAGGUAGCCGUA
RNAcentral lists this ribosomal RNA (1495 nucleotides) under uncultured bacterium. RNAcentral describes it as "16S ribosomal RNA". It matches the Rfam family "Bacterial small subunit ribosomal RNA". The record is from RNAcentral.